UCCGAGGUAGCUCAAUUGGCAGAGCAGUUGACUGUUAAUCAAUUGGUUGUGGGUUCGAGUCCCACCCUCGGAG
RNAcentral lists this transfer RNA (73 nucleotides) under Candidatus Yanofskybacteria bacterium RIFCSPHIGHO2_01_FULL_39_8b. RNAcentral's name for it is "tRNA-Asn". It matches the Rfam family "tRNA". Rfam says of the family: Transfer RNA (tRNA) molecules are approximately 80 nucleotides in length. Their secondary structure includes four short double-helical elements and three loops (D, anti-codon, and T loops). Further hydrogen bonds mediate the characteristic L-shaped molecular structure. tRNAs have two regions of fundamental functional importance: the anti-codon, which is responsible for specific mRNA codon recognition, and the 3' end, to which the tRNAs corresponding amino acid is attached (by aminoacyl-tRNA synthetases). tRNAs cope with the degeneracy of the genetic code in two manners: having more than one tRNA (with a specific anti-codon) for a particular amino acid; and 'wobble' base-pairing, i.e. permitting non-standard base-pairing at the 3rd anti-codon position. The record is from RNAcentral. Lineage: Bacteria; Candidatus Yanofskyibacteriota.